RNAcentral lists this ribosomal RNA (484 nucleotides) under uncultured bacterium. RNAcentral describes it as "partial 16S ribosomal RNA". It matches the Rfam family "Bacterial small subunit ribosomal RNA", at positions 30 to 507 of the family's 1533-position model. The record is from RNAcentral.
AUUGAACGCUGGCGGCAGGCCUAACACAUGCAAGUCGAGCGGAUGAAGGGAGCUUGCUCCUGGAUUCAGCGGCGGACGGGUGAGUAAUGCCUAGGAAUCUGCCUGGUAGUGGGGGAUAACGUCCGGAAACGGGCGCUAAUACCGCAUACGUCCUGAGGGAGAAAGUGGGGGAUCUUCGGACCUCACGCUAUCAGAUGAGCCUAGGUCGGAUUAGCUAGUUGGUGGGGUAAAGGCCUACCAAGGCGACGAUCCGUAACUGGUCUGAGAGGAUGAUCAGUCACACUGGAACUGAGACACGGUCCAGACUCCUACGGGAGGCAGCAGUGGGGAAUAUUGGACAAUGGGCGAAAGCCUGAUCCAGCCAUGCCGCGUGUGUGAAGAAGGUCUUCGGAUGGUAAAGCACUUUAAGUGGGGAGGAAGGGCAGUAAGUUAAUACCUUGCUGUUUUGACGUUACCAACAGAAUAAGCACCGGCUAACUUCGUG